UCUGAGCGUGUACAACUCUGUUUCCUUCAAUCAAGCAAACAGAACCUUGCCUUCUUCCUUGCUUCCUCUGCUUUUCUAUUAUUUCCUAGAAUCCUGCAAGUUUUCUAUGCUUUUUUUUUUUCACCUCUGCUUUGCUUUGCUUUUUUUUUCCCUUUGCUACGCGAUGGUUUUCUUUCCUUUUUGCCUUUUCCCUCCUAGUUGCUUUUUGUGUCUUUUUGAGUUAUUUUUCAUUCUUCUUUUCUCUGUCUUUGGCUUGGUUUGCUUUUUUCUUUAUUUUUCUUUGCUUUGCAUUGCUUUUUUACUUCCUUUUCAUUGACUGGCGUUGCUUUACUUGUUUGGAUGUUUUCCCUGUUUGUUUUUUUUUCAGUUUUUUUUUUCCCUAAUGUUUUUCUUUGUUUUUCACAGCUGUGCUUUGCUUUUUCUUUCACUGUUCUUUUUUUUUUUUUUUUUUCACUUUGGUUCCUUGCAUGGUUUUUCUUUGCUGUGCAUUUCUCUGCCUUGUUUUGCAUUGCUCUUUCAUUUCUUCUAUUUUCCUUAAAUUUCUUUGUUUUUCUUGUCUUUUAUUUGCUUUGAAUUUUCUUUAUUUUUACUAUUUUUUCUUUGCUUUGCACAGCUUUUUAAAUUAUUUUUCCAACGUUUCCAAUAAAUUCCCACCUUUUCCCAUGCUUUCCUAUUUAUUUUUCUUUACUCUAGCUUUCCCAUCCUUUACCAUCUUUUUCCACCCUUUCCCAUGUUUUCCCAUUUUUAACCAUGCUUUCCAAACUUAUGCCUUUCUUUCCUACUUUUCCCACAUUUUCUUAUGCUUUCCCAACAUUUGUCCUACUUUUCCCAGCUUUUCCCUUGCUUUCCCACCUUUUCCUGUCUUCUUUUCUUAUCAUUUAUUUUUCUGCUACUCAAGCCAACUCUCUCCACUAUCCUGCACUGCUUUCCAGUUUUGCAUGGAGCAGUGGGCUGUGAGAUGGGCCAUGUUCUGCUUCCCUCACUGCACCGGGAGGGGCCUUUGUGCAGCACCAGACGUGCAUUUCCUAGAAGUACGUGAUGGAGCACAUCCUGGGAUCAAGGUGCCAUGGUCAGGAAAAUCCUGCUCUGGAUGUACAGGCUUGUCUGAGUUCCUGUCCAAAGACCAGGACCCAAGAAUGCGGAGGCAGAAGAACAACGAUAUGUGAGGUAUCUAUGGGUGUAUCUGUAUAUCUGCACAGCAGGCCCAGCUGCCCCUGCUUCCCCUCUCCAUGGGAACUGCCCAUGCUGCCACUCUCAGAGUCUCUUCUGGCCACAGUGACCUGGGGCAAUUCCCCCUCCAUCUGCUCUUGCCCUGCCUGGUGCCCAUCCCCACAGCAAUUCCCGGUGCCGGCACGGGCAGCGCAGGCGAGCUGUGUUCAACGCCCUCUGCAUCCCGCUGCACAAAGGAUUUCAGGCGGAGGCACAGCAAA
RNAcentral lists this long non-coding RNA (1430 nucleotides) under Numida meleagris (helmeted guineafowl). Its description in RNAcentral is "lncRNA (ENSNMEG00000004145.1)". The record is from RNAcentral. Lineage: Eukaryota; Metazoa; Chordata; Aves; Galliformes; Numididae.